AGCAGCCGCGGUAAUUCCAGCUCCAAUAGCGUAUAUUAAAGUUGUUGCAGUUAAAAAGCUCGUAGUUGAAUUUCGGGAUUAAUAUGUUGGUCGUGCCUUGGUACGUACUGGCAUUAUUGAUUCCUACCUUCUGAAGAACCUCGAUGUCAUUAAUUUGGUGUCUUGGGGAAUCAGGACCGUUACUUUGAAAAAUUAGAGUGUUUAAAGCAGGCUCGCGCUUGAAUACAUUAGCAUGGAAUAAUGAAAUAGGACGUUUGAUUCUAUUUUGUUGGUUUCUAGGAUCGACGUAAUGAUUAAUAGGGAUAGUUGGGGGCAUUAGUAUUCAAUUGUCAGAGGUGAAAUUCUUGGAUUUAUUGAAGACUAACUACUGCGAAAGC
Molecule: ribosomal RNA, 377 nt
Filed under: uncultured Glomus
Lineage: Eukaryota; Fungi; Glomeromycota; Glomeromycetes; Glomerales; Glomeraceae
Description: SSU rRNA
Rfam family: Eukaryotic small subunit ribosomal RNA
Source: RNAcentral